RNAcentral lists this long non-coding RNA (626 nucleotides) under Ananas comosus (pineapple). Its description in RNAcentral is "long non-coding RNA (ACOM_LNC032973)". Lineage: Eukaryota; Viridiplantae; Streptophyta; Magnoliopsida; Poales; Bromeliaceae. The record is from RNAcentral.
UUGUCUAUGAUAAUUUAGCCCUCAAACUUUAAUUUGAUGUAAUUUCUUACACAAAUUUCUAGUAUUUUUACAAUCAAGUCCUACAAUAUAAUAUAAUUGACCAAAUUUUAAUAUAUUAUCGAUGCAAAAAUAAUAUGAUAUCUUAAUUAUUACCAUAUUAUCGAUUGCAAUACUACUAUAUUACUUCUACAUUAGUGAUAUAUAAAUAUUUAGUCAACUAAAUUAUAUUGUAAGACUUGAUUGCAACAAUUUUGAAAAUUUAAUUAAAAAAUUAAAACAAAUUAGAGUCGGAAGACCAAAAGUGAGCUGCAGCCUCAUAGUUUGAGGACCAAAUAAGUAAUUUAACUAUGAGUUGCAAAUUUAAUAAAGCCUUGUUUAGAUGCAUGAAUAUCUGUUUUUUUAGUAUAUAUUUUUAAUUUAUUUAAAAAUUUGUGCAUUUAGACGAUGAAAAGUAUGAUCAAACAUUUAAAAUGGAUUAUCAUAUUCGAGCUUCAACUCAAUUUUUCCAAAAAAAUGUAAAUCAACUUUAUAGGUAAAAUAUGCUGUUCUAUCAAAUCAUAAAUAGCAAAGUCUUUUAAAAAAAUAAAAAUUAAAAUAUUCUCCUUACAAUCAUACUAAAAAAAUUC